UGAGGAAUCUUCCGCAAUGGGCGAAAGCCUGACGGAGCGACGCCGCGUGGUGGAUGAAGGCCUUUACCGGUCGUAAACACCUGUUCUGAGGGAAGAAAUUUUUGACGAUACCUCAGGAGAAAGUAUCGGCAAACCCUGUGCCAGCAGCCGCGGUAAUACGUAGGGUGCAAGCGUUAAUCGGAAUUACUGGGCGUAAAGCGUGCGCAGGCGGUUAUAUAAGACAGAUGUGAAAUCCCUGGGCUCAACCUAGGAACUGCAUCUGUGACUGUAUAGCUAGAGUACGGUAGAGGGGGAUGGAAUUCCGCGUGUAGCAGUGAAAUGCGCAGAUAUGCGGAAGAACACCAGUGGCGAAGGCGGCUCACUGGAUCGGUACUGACGCUGAGGUGCGAAAGCGUGGGGAGCAAACAGGAUUAGAUACCCUCGUAGUCCCUGAGCGGGCUGGCAAGGCGCAU
Molecule: ribosomal RNA, 452 nt
Filed under: uncultured bacterium
Lineage: Bacteria
Description: bacterial SSU rRNA
Rfam family: Bacterial small subunit ribosomal RNA
Source: RNAcentral